Molecule: RNA transcript, 6901 nt
Organism: Siniperca chuatsi (mandarin fish)
Lineage: Eukaryota; Metazoa; Chordata; Actinopteri; Centrarchiformes; Sinipercidae
Gene name: protocadherin-15-like
Exons: 41
Source: RefSeq, a predicted model, not a curated record
CUGUGUCUCUCCUACAGAGCUCGUAGUUACCUUGCAAGUCCCACACUGGAGACUUCAACUAAAAGAGGACUAGAAGAGAGGGAGACUAUUUUUUCACUGCAUAAAGGCCACAACAGUCUUAUAUUGUGUGUGUGUGUGUGUGUGUGUGUGUGUGUGUGUGACUUGAAAAUAAACUACUCUUUUUUUAUUUCUCGUCUUGAAGGCGCCCACCCCCCUCAAAAAAAAAAAAAAAAAAAAAAAAAAAGUGGGGUCGGUCUUUAGUCAGGCGGGUGGAUGAGUUGUGUGGACGUUCUUUCCUGGAUUUUCUCUUCGGGCUGUGUCUUACCGCGGCCAAGAGACGGCAACAGUGUGUGGAAAAGUAGAUUUGUGUGUUAAACAAAUGGCUUCAACGAGGAUAACACGCUGGAUGCUUGGUGAAGCAUGGUGGUGAAGAUGGUUAGAACGCACUUAAUGGGGCCACUGUCAUGGGGCAGGGUCAAAUUGCCGAGUAUAAUGGGAACAGGAAUCCUUUAUCUGCUGCUGCUAUCAACUUGUCUCGGCCAAGACACAGAAGAUUGGCAAUAUGAGGAAUGUAAACUGUCUCGGUCGGGUCCUCCUGCUACCAUCGUUGCCAUAGACGAAGAAAGCCCCAAUGGAACGUUAUUGGUGGAGAACAUGCAGAUAAAUGGAGUGGCUGAGGGUCCAGAUCGUACCAUCUCUCUGUCUCUAAGGGAUAACCAUGACCACUGGGUGAUCCUUGACCCUUCCAAACAAGCCCUUUACCUCAACAGUACCGGACGGGUUCUGGAUAGAGAUCCCCCCUCAUUUAUUCACUCCAUUGUGGUUCAGGUUCAGUGUACCAAUGAGCUGGUUGGCACAGUGAUUUUACAUGAAGUCCGCAUCGUUGUUCGAGACCGCAAUGACAAUGCACCACGUUUCCAACAGCCAAGAUACUAUGUCGCCGUCAGUGAGCUGACGCCGGUAGGAACCACUAUCUUCUCUGGUUUCUGGGGGAACAAUGGGGCAACAGACAUUGAUGACGGUCCCAACGGACAGAUAGAGUACACCAUUCAGUACAACCCGAAAGAACCGACAACAAACAGAACCUUUGACAUCCCUCUGACACUGUUUGGCUCCGUAGUUCUCAGAGAAAGACUCAACUAUGAGGAGACAACACGGUAUCUGGUCAUCAUACAGGCAAAUGACCGAGCCCCCUAUCCCACUGAGCGCCGCACAGCCACCACCACUCUAACUGUGGAUGUACUGGAUGGCGAUGACUUGGGGCCCAUGUUUCUACCAUGUGCGCUUGUGGGAAACACCCGUGACUGUAGUCCCAUCACGUAUAGGGCUAAUGUACUGGAGCUGACAGAGCCGAAAAAGGUGAAUCCCGUCAAUGUGACUCCACCCAUUCAAGCUGUGGACCAAGACAGGAACAUACAACCUCCCUCUGACAGGCCAGGGAUUCUUUACUCCAUCCUCAUUGGCAAACCAGAGUCCUAUGCAGAAUAUUUCAGCUUAAACAGAACCACAGCGGCGCUCCUGCUACUAAAGCCCAUCGAUAGAGAACUCUACCGCAGAUUUGAUCUGGUUAUCAAGGCAGAGCAGGACAAUGGCCACCCCUUGCCAGCAUUUGCCAACCUCCAAAUCGAAGUUCUAGAUGAGAACAACCAGGCACCAUACUUCCAGGAGACGAGUUACCAUGGCUACGUCAGUGAAGCAUCACCAGUGGGAACCACCAUAGCGACCAAUGCCAGCCUGUCUGCACCGCUGGCCAUCAUAGCUCUGGAUAACGAUGUGGAGGAGUCCAGGGAUCCUCAGCUCCAGUUAUCGUUGGACAGCUAUCCUCAUGUUUUCUCUGUGUCUGCUACUGGAAUCAGAAGAUAUCUCACACUGGUGCAGCCACUGGACAGAGAGACACAGGAUUCCUAUACAUUCACGCUUUUAGCAUCAGAUGGCGUCCAGCAGAGCAUUCCGGUUACCGUGACGAUAACAGUGUUGGAUGCUAACGACAACACUCCGACUUUUGCUAAUGUCUCUUAUAAUGUCAACCUGUUUACUGAUAUGAUGCCUGGAGAAACUGUGUUACAGCUGUCAGCAGUUGACUCUGAUGCUGGUCCCAACGGUCAGGUCACCUACCGGAUCCUAGCUGGUGACCAGGGACAUUUUCUUAUUGGCAACAGCACUGGGGUCAUUACUGUGGCACCAGGCGUUGAGCUCACUGUUGGACGGAGCUACGCUUUGACUGUAGAAGCCAUGGACAAUGGGCAUGUACCUCAUAGAAGGUCAUCCAUUACUACAGUCUAUAUCGAAGUUUUGCCCCCAAACAACCAGAGCCCUCCCCGCUUCCCCCGGCAGCAAUACAACCUGGAGAUCAGCGAAGCUAUGAGGACCGGAGCUACACUGCUUAAUCUGCAGGCAGUGGAUCGGGAGAGGGACCCCAUCACCUACAAAAUCCACAGCGGAGACCGCCAUGGACAUUUCGCACUACAGCAGAACUCAGGGUAUUUGGUUCUGGACAAGCCUCUGGACAGGGAGUCUCUGGAUUAUUAUACCCUGGUGAUCACAGCCUCAGACGGACACCCAGAUGGGACCUCCACAGCAACGGUGAACAUUGUGGUGACAGAUGUUAAUGACAAUGACCCGCUAUUCGAUUCUUCACUGCCAGUGAACCUCACUGUCAUCGAGGAGCAGGAUCACGCCUACGUUGGACAGGUCAAGGCUACAGAUCCAGAUCUAGGGACAAGCGGUCAGGUCCAUUAUCGGCUCGUCAACCACCAGAAGCUGUUUUCCAUCAAUGCUACUGGAGCGAUCAGAACUGCCGUACCACUGGACAGAGAGGUGAAAGGUCACUACUUUCUGAUCGUUGAAGCCUGGGAUGGUGCCGUGGACCCUCGGCGAUCCAGAUUAACACUGUCUGUCACUGUUCUGGAUGUAGACGACAACAGCCCGAUAUUCACCCAACAAACUUACAAUGUCGUCUUACCAGAGAACAGCCCCAAAGAUAUAGUCAUAUUACAGUUAAAGGCGAUAGAUGCUGACCUCGGCUCCAACGUCACGUAUCGAAUCAGAACUGACGGCUCGGACCAGGAGAUCGUCCAGCUAUUCCACAUCGACCCAGUGACAGGAGAGCUCUCGGUUCUUAAAAUUCUGGACUAUGAGGCUCUGACUGACUCACAACCCACAUACACAUUCACUGUAGAGGCUAUGGACACAGAGGGAACCAUGCCUCCUGGACUAGCCUCUGUUACUGUCAGAAUCAUGGACAUGAAUGACUUUUCUCCGGUAUUCAGCCAGUCAGUGUACCGAGGCAUGGUUGCCCCUAAUGCUGUCAAGGGAACCAUUGUAACCACAGUGAUGGCCAAUGACUCUGACCCUGCGGGUACCCCAGCAGGUCUAGUGCGCUAUAAAGUGGACCAGGAGGCUUAUCCAUACUCUGCCAGUAUAUUUGAUGUAGAGGAAAAAACUGGAAAUGUGGUAACCAGAGUAAACCUCAAUGAGGAGCCCAACCUCAAGUUCAGUUUGGUGGUGGUGGCCUAUGAUGAUGGUGAGCCUGCAAAAGAGAACACAACUUUGGUUGAGAUUACAGUCCUUCAGCCUUCUGUCAUUCCUGUGUUCACUCAGGAAGAAUACAGGUUUCCACCAGUAAGCGAGGAGGCUGCUGUUGGAACCCCGGUGGGAGCCAUCAUGGCAGCUGCUGUCAAUCAAACUAUCAUCUACUCCAUCAUCGAAGGCAACAAAGGAGGUGUGUUUGCAUUAAAUGAAAUAACAGGGGUGAUUUCCACAGCCAAGCGCCUGGACUAUGAGGCCAGUUCCAGCUACGUUCUGAAGGUAGAAGCAGACUCCAUGAAAGUGGUGUCCUCGAACCUCCGAGCUCCCUCUAAGACUAACACAGCUAAGGUGGUAAUUGAUAUCCAGGAUGAGAACGACCACCCACCAGUUUUCACCACAUCUCUUUACAUUGGAGGGGUUGCAGAAGAUGCUAAAACUUUCACCUCCGUCUUGCAAGUACAGGCGCUGGACCAAGACACUGGUAACUACAGUUCUAUGUUGUACCGGCUGAUCAUUCCUCCUCCUGCUGGUAAAGACACAAAAGAUAGCAAAGACGGCUUUGUCAUCGAACCAUACAGCGGCGUGGUGAAGACGGCAAUCAUGUACCGCAAUAUGAGGAGGUCAUAUUUUAAGUUUGAGGUGGUUGCUACAGACAACUAUGGUCAAGGACACAGCAGCAAGGCGGAGAUAGUGGUGUCAGUCGUGAACCAGCUGGACAUGCAGGUGGUCGUAUCAAAUGUCCCGCCAACUUAUGUAGAGAAAAACAAAGACAAGCUGCUCAGCAUUUUGGAACGCUACGUCCAGGAACAGAUACCGGGAGCAAAGGUUGUCGUGGAAACCAUCGGGCCCCAUCGUCAUGGUGAUGGCAUGGAGCAGGAAGACUAUACCAAGUCGGACCUCAUGAUUUAUGCUAUCGAUCCUCUGACAAAUAGAGCUGUAUCUAGACAGGAGCUCUACAAGUUUCUUGAUGGUAAACUCUUGGACAUCAAUAAAGAGUUCCAGCCCUUCCUCCCUCCUGGUGGACGGAUUCUGGAGAUCCGAACCCCUGAAGUGGUGACCAGUGUAAAGAAAGCUGUGCAGACUGUAGGCUACACAGAGGGGGCGCUGUUGGCUCUGGCAGUUAUUAUCAUCAUCUGCUGUGUCCCCGCCAUACUGAUUGUCAUUAUCACCUACAGACAAUUCAAAGAACGCCAGGCAGAGUGUGCCAAAACAGCCCGUAUUCAGAUGGCACUGCCAACAGGCAAACCUGGGGGAGGCACUGCCAACAACCUGUAUGAAGAGCUGGGUGACAACGCCAUGCGUGGAUACGGACAACAUGAGACACAACAACUUCUCAGACCUUCUCUGCUCAGACCAGAGGAGUUAUCGAUGGAAUCUGGCAUCGACCCUGGCCAGGACUACUACACACAAGAUUAUUACAACUAUGAUCACGGUUAUGAACUUCCUCAGUACGGCAGUCGCAGGAAGCUGAUCUCACCCUCCGGCCUCUACGAUGAAUAUGGAGAAGUUGUUGUUGAUGAUGACGGCAGCUACUACUACAGCCCACAGGAGUCUGACGGAGAGGUGAGGAGACAGUUUCAAGGAGGUAGAUUAGCCCCACACCCUGCCUUCCUCCAGCCCCGUCCUUCACCUUCUCAUGGGCCUUCAAGAAAGAUGCCAGGAGCCCCAAGUACUGAGGGCUACAAAAAACAACCGUCAGAGGGUGAUACAACCAUAAACACGAAGCCUAAGAGGUCAAGUGCAGCCGCCAGGUUGAAGGCCAUGAUGAGGGUGAGCACACUGCUGUCCUCUGGGAGUAAAACAUCCAGGCAACCUCCUACCAUCCACCCACCCUGGAACAAAGCCAGAGUCAGGCCAGUGGAAAAGGGGGAUGUAGUGGGAAAUGGAUUUGAGAGAAGGGAAGCGGGGAAAAGAGAAAACAAAGGGGGAGGGGGAGAUGAAGUGACAGAAAGAGGAAGGGAAAGAGGCGGCAGAGGAGAAAUGGAAACAUGGGGAAGAAGCAACAGAUGUGGCGUGACAAACAAUGGGAUGAGAAAUGCUGUUGAAGGAGGAGAAGGCAUGAGGCCAGAGCAUAGGAGAGAGCUCCCUGGCAUGUCGUCCUCUGGCCACCUUGCCACCCUGGACGGCAGCAUGGUCAUCAACGGGAGUUAUUUCCAGACGUCCCUUGAAGCCAGCAUACCCCCGCCGGUGAAACAAAAGCUGAGUGAGGCCCUCAGUCUUAUCUCCCUCGCCAGAAGGCUCCAGGGACCUGCCAGGGUGGGAGAUGAACAGUGGAGCAAUGGAAAAAGCUGGGACAGAAGAGGGGAAAACAGUGGGGAGAUGUAUGGCUCCGUAGGAGAUAUGAGUGUUUCUGCAUCAGUGUCUGAGAGAGCCGUGGGAGAGGAGAGGAGGAGGUGGGAGAGGGAGUUAGGAGAGGAGAAUAGUUCCUUUGAGGUAUGGUGGAAGAGAGAAAAAAGAUUAUAUGACAGUGAUUCAGAAACAGGAAGGGGCAGCAAAGAGUUUCCAUCAGAAUUGAGUCUCUCCGACACAAGUAGCCCCACCUCGUCUGUUACAGCCGAGCACGCCAAGACCGAAUCUGAUACAGAAACAGAAAAAAAUGAGUCUGACUCAGGAACAGAAAGGGAAGGGGGAACUCCUGACACAGACAAAGAGUCAGAGAGUGGAAGACAAGAUGAGGAGAGAGAAGGGUCAGAGUCUGAGAAAGAGUCAGGGUUAGAGAGUGAGGAUGAAGGAGAAGAGUCGAGCAGAAAAUGCUCAAAAGGUAGUGUUAGUAACAGUUCAGCGAGUAGCAACAGUAUUAGUAGUAAAAGUAGAAGCAGUGGUGCCAACUUAAAGAGAGAAAGCAACAGCCACUCCACAAACAGCAGCAGUGACUCUACAGUUUAUAGUUCUAGGCCCCAAACAUCUAGAUAUUCCCGUUCAUCCCAUGAAACAAUAGAGGAAGAGAGCGAAGAAUCAGGAGAGGAGGAGGAAGACGCAAAAAGCGCUGGAUCUCUAAAGUCUUCGUCGAGCAGGCAAGCCACCAAACACAUCCAAUCAGACAUCGGCUCAGGCGUGAUCGACACCUCGGACGACUUGUCACCCAUCAUCGAGGACACCGAGGAGGAGAGAAGCUGCGGCCAUGGCGAGGAAGGAGAACAGGAUGAAGGAGAGGGGGAUUUGGAAAAUGAGUCGGCUGAUUGAAAUGCAGAUGAGGCCUUAGCCCUCCCAAAGAUAAAAUUCUUUGCUACUAACAUGGCAGCAGAAAACGUCGGAUCAAGUUAGUGGUGGACCGUGAAUAUGAGACCAGCUCCACCGGUGAGGACAGCAUGCCAGAGACCCAACGCAGCCGCUUAUCCUCCACCCUCAACAGCCACGCUAACGUUAACGGCAG